AGUGAACGCUGGCGGUAGGCCUAACACAUGCAAGUCGAACGGCAGCACAGUAAGAGCUUGCUCUUACGGGUGGCGAGUGGCGGACGGGUGAGGAAUACAUCGGAAUCUACUUUUUCGUGGGGGAUAACGUAGGGAAACUUACGCUAAUACCGCAUACGACCUACGGGUGAAAGCAGGGGAUCUUCGGACCUUGCGCGAUUGAAUGAGCCGAUGUCGGAUUAGCUAGUUGGCGGGGUAAAGACCCACCAAGUCGACGAUCCGUAGCUGGUCUGAGAGGAUGGUAAGCGACACUGGAAGUGGGACACGGUCAAGAGUCCUACGGGAGGCAGCAGUGGGGAAUAUUGGACAAUAGGCGCAAGCAUGAUCCAGCCAUAGCGCGUGGGUGAAGAAGGCCUUCGGGUUGUGAAGCCCGUUUGUUGGGAAAGAAAAGCAGCAGGUUAAUACCCCGCUGUUCUGACGGUAACCAAAGAAUAAGCACCGGCUAACUUCGUG
Molecule: ribosomal RNA, 492 nt
Filed under: uncultured bacterium
Lineage: Bacteria
Description: partial 16S ribosomal RNA
Rfam family: Bacterial small subunit ribosomal RNA
Source: RNAcentral